RNAcentral lists this ribosomal RNA (515 nucleotides) under Streptococcus sp. oral taxon 058. RNAcentral describes it as "bacterial SSU rRNA". It matches the Rfam family "Bacterial small subunit ribosomal RNA", at positions 376 to 880 of the family's 1533-position model. The record is from RNAcentral. Lineage: Bacteria; Bacillati; Bacillota; Bacilli; Lactobacillales; Streptococcaceae.
CGGAAGUCUGACCGAGCAACGCCGCGUGAGUGAAGAAGGUUUUCGGAUCGUAAAGCUCUGUUGUAAGAGAAGAACGAGUGUGAGAGUGGAAAGUUCACACUGUGACGGUAUCUUACCAGAAAGGGACGGCUAACUACGUGCCAGCAGCCGCGGUAAUACGUAGGUCCCGAGCGUUGUCCGGAUUUAUUGGGCGUAAAGCGAGCGCAGGCGGUUAGAUAAGUCUGAAGUUAAAGGCUGUGGCUUAACCAUAGUACGCUUUGGAAACUGUUUAACUUGAGUGCAAGAGGGGAGAGUGGAAUUCCAUGUGUAGCGGUGAAAUGCGUAGAUAUAUGGAGGAACACCGGUGGCGAAAGCGGCUCUCUGGCUUGUAACUGACGCUGAGGCUCGAAAGCGUGGGGAGCAAACAGGAUUAGAUACCCUGGUAGUCCACGCCGUAAACGAUGAGUGCUAGGUGUUAAGACCCUUUUCCGGGGUUUAGUGCCGCAGCUAACGCAUUAAGCACUCCGCCUGGGGAG